RNAcentral lists this ribosomal RNA (738 nucleotides) under Microbacterium arborescens. RNAcentral describes it as "bacterial SSU rRNA". It matches the Rfam family "Bacterial small subunit ribosomal RNA", at positions 89 to 839 of the family's 1533-position model. The record is from RNAcentral. Lineage: Bacteria; Bacillati; Actinomycetota; Actinomycetes; Micrococcales; Microbacteriaceae.
GGAUCAGUGGCGAACGGGUGAGUAACACGUGAGCAAUCUGCCCCUGACUCUGGGAUAAGCGCUGGAAACGGCGUCUAAUACCGGAUACGAGCUGCGACCGCAUGGUCAGUAGCUGGAAAGAAUUUCGGUCAGGGAUGAGCUCGCGGCCUAUCAGCUUGUUGGUGAGGUAAUGGCUCACCAAGGCGUCGACGGGUAGCCGGCCUGAGAGGGUGACCGGCCACACUGGGACUGAGACACGGCCCAGACUCCUACGGGAGGCAGCAGUGGGGAAUAUUGCACAAUGGGCGCAAGCCUGAUGCAGCAACGCCGCGUGAGGGAUGACGGCCUUCGGGUUGUAAACCUCUUUUAGCAGGGAAGAAGCGAAAGUGACGGUACCUGCAGAAAAAGCGCCGGCUAACUACGUGCCAGCAGCCGCGGUAAUACGUAGGGCGCAAGCGUUAUCCGGAAUUAUUGGGCGUAAAGAGCUCGUAGGCGGUCUGUCGCGUCUGCUGUGAAAACCCGAGGCUCAACCUCGGGCCUGCAGUGGGUACGGGCAGACUAGAGUGCGGUAGGGGAGAUUGGAAUUCCUGGUGUAGCGGUGGAAUGCGCAGAUAUCAGGAGGAACACCGAUGGCGAAGGCAGAUCUCUGGGCCGUAACUGACGCUGAGGAGCGAAAGGGUGGGGAGCAAACAGGCUUAGAUACCCUGGUAGUCCACCCCGUAAACGUUGGGAACUAGUUGUGGGGUCCAUUCCACGGAU